UUCCCUUUUAGCUAGGAUGGCCCUUGACACAGUUAUAAGGCAACCUCUUCCCUCCCCUUCCCUUCCCCUCCCCUUCCCCAAAGCAGUUGUGAAUCGGAAAGGGUUGUCUGUGUUUGUGUGUGUGUGUGUGAAAGCAGAAGGUUACAAAUUGUUAUAAAUAGCUAAGGCAAUGUAAGUUUGGGACAUGCUUUGGCAAACCCGACUGAGAAGUUACGUUGAAGAAGUCACUCAACCCGUCCCGUGACUUCUGGAUUUAUUAGGUCAGGAGGAUCCACACUUCGCUUUGCAGAAGGAAAUCUUGGACUGGAGUGACAAGUAGUAAUCUCCUUUCAAAGCCUGGGGCGUUAGAGAUCUGUUUACGCAGCCUUUAUACAGAAGCCUGCGAUACGGAUUUCGAGGGAACCUCAGACCAAGAGAAGCAUAAGAGGUCAAAGUAGCAGGAGGAAGAGCCGCGAGGCCCGGCGACUUGAGUGAAGGAGCAUGGGGUGCACUCCGCGCUGUGCCUUGCUGACGGUGGCAAUCAUCGGGGCCGUGUUGGCCAUCCUGGGAGGAGUUUUGAUCCCGGUUGGAAAUCACUUGAUUGGG
Thamnophis elegans (Western terrestrial garter snake) is the source of this 585-nucleotide long non-coding RNA. RefSeq lists it as uncharacterized. The record is from RefSeq and is a predicted model, not a curated record. NCBI's taxonomy places the organism in Eukaryota, Metazoa, Chordata, Lepidosauria, Squamata, Natricidae. The transcript is spliced from 2 exons.